GUUAUCCUGAAGUGUGCGUUACACCUUUGGUUUUGAACCUACACUUAUACUUUGGGAGUCCGGAUGUCCUCCAUUCGAUGUCAUGCCGCCUUUGAGUGGAAGACAGAAAACUGGAGGCAGGGCACCCACCUAGCUUCUGCUAGGCGUCAAAAAGAAGGGAACGGCACAUUCGGGAUUAUA
RNAcentral lists this non-coding RNA (180 nucleotides) under Eubacterium aggregans. RNAcentral's name for it is "6S / SsrS RNA". It matches the Rfam family "6S / SsrS RNA". From Rfam's summary of the family: E. coli 6S RNA was the first non coding RNA to be sequenced, but its function was unknown until recently. The record is from Rfam by way of RNAcentral. Lineage: Bacteria; Bacillati; Bacillota; Clostridia; Eubacteriales; Eubacteriaceae.